RNAcentral lists this ribosomal RNA (345 nucleotides) under uncultured bacterium. RNAcentral's name for it is "bacterial SSU rRNA". It matches the Rfam family "Bacterial small subunit ribosomal RNA", at positions 629 to 972 of the family's 1533-position model. The record is from RNAcentral.
GAAACUGCCAAUCUAGAGUAUCGGAGAGGAAAGUGGAAUUCCUAGUGUAGCGGUGAAAUGCGUAGAUAUUAGGAAGAACACCAGUGGCGAAGGCGACUUUCUGGACGAAAACUGACGCUGAGGCGCGAAAGCCAGGGGAGCGAACGGGAUUAGAUACCCCGGUAGUCCUGGCCGUAAACGAUGGGUACUAGGUGUAGGAGGUAUCGACCCCUUCUGUGCCGGAGUUAACGCAAUAAGUACCCCGCCUGGGGAGUACGACCGCAAGGUUGAAACUCAAAGGAAUUGACGGGGGCCCGCACAAGCGGUGGAGUAUGUGGUUUAAUUCGACGCAACGCGAAGAMCCUU